This 724-nucleotide ribosomal RNA is filed under the name bacterium IMCC8403. RNAcentral describes it as "bacterial SSU rRNA". It matches the Rfam family "Bacterial small subunit ribosomal RNA", at positions 28 to 750 of the family's 1533-position model. The record is from RNAcentral. RNAcentral also lists the same sequence under 2 other names.
AUUGAACGCUGGCGGCAGGCCUAACACAUGCAAGUCGAGCGCGAAAACACUUCGGUGUGAGUAGAGCGGCGGACGGGUGAGUAAUGCUUGGGAAUCUGCCCAGUAGUGGGGGAUAACGUGUGGAAACGCACGCUAAUACCGCAUACGUCCUACGGGAGAAAGCAGGGGAUCUUCGGACCUUGCGCUAUUGGAUGAGCCCAAGUCAGAUUAGCUAGUUGGUGAGGUAAUGGCUCACCAAGGCGACGAUCUGUAGCUGGUCUGAGAGGAUGAUCAGCCACACUGGGACUGAGACACGGCCCAGACUCCUACGGGAGGCAGCAGUGGGGAAUAUUGCACAAUGGGCGAAAGCCUGAUGCAGCCAUGCCGCGUGUGUGAAGAAGGCUCUAGGGUUGUAAAGCACUUUCAGUGGGGAGGAAAAGUUUAAGAUUAAUACUCUUGAACCUUGACGUUACCUGCAGAAGAAGCACCGGCAAACUCCGUGCCAGCAGCCGCGGUAAUACGGAGGGUGCGAGCGUUAAUCGGAAUUACUGGGCGUAAAGCGCGCGUAGGUGGUUUGAUAAGCUAGCUGUGAAAGCCCCGGGCUCAACCUGGGAACUGCAGUUAGAACUGUCUGGCUAGAGUAUAGUAGAGGGUGGCGGAAUUUCCUGUGUAGCGGUGAAAUGCGUAGAUAUAGGAAGGAACAUCAGUGGCGAAGGCGGCCACCUGGACUAAUACUGACACUGAG